UACGUAGGGUGCGAGCGUUGUCCGGAAUUAUUGGGCGUAAAGAGCUCGUAGGCGGUUUGUCGCGUCUGCUGUGAAAAUCCGGGGCUCAACCCCGGACUUGCAGUGGGUACGGGCAGACUAGAGUGUGGUAGGGGAGACUGGAAUUCCUGGUGUGGCGGUGGAAUGCGCAGAUAUCAGGAGGAACACCGAUGGCGAAGGCAGGUCUCUGGGCCACUACUGACGCUGAGAAGCGAAAGCAUGGGGAGCGAACAGG
Molecule: ribosomal RNA, 253 nt
Filed under: uncultured bacterium
Lineage: Bacteria
Description: partial 16S ribosomal RNA
Rfam family: Bacterial small subunit ribosomal RNA
Source: RNAcentral